AACGAACGCUGGCGGCAGGCCUAACACAUGCAAGUCGAACGCUGUAGCAAUACAGAGUGGCAGACGGGUGAGUAACGCGUGGGAACCUUCCCAAUGGUGCGGAAUAGCCCAGGGAAACUUGGGGUAAUACCGCAUAAGCCCCUAGGGGGAAAGAUUUAUCGCCAUUGGAUGGGCCCGCGUCGGAUUAGCUAGUUGGUGAGGUAAUGGCUCACCAAGGCAACGAUCCGUAGCUGGUUUGAGAGAAUGACCAGCCACACUGGGACUGAGACACGGCCCAGACUCCUACGGGAGGCAGCAGUGGGGAAUCUUGGACAAUGGGCGCAAGCCUGAUCCAGCCAUGCCGCGUGAGUGACGAAGGCCUUAGGGUUGUAAAGCUCUUUUGCCGGGGACGAUAAUGACGGUACCCGGAGAAUAAGUCCCGGCUAACUUCGUGCCAGCAGCCGCAGUAA
This 449-nucleotide ribosomal RNA is filed under the name uncultured bacterium. RNAcentral's name for it is "partial 16S ribosomal RNA". It matches the Rfam family "Bacterial small subunit ribosomal RNA", at positions 29 to 523 of the family's 1533-position model. The record is from RNAcentral.